This 487-nucleotide long non-coding RNA is filed under the name Malus domestica (apple). RNAcentral describes it as "long non-coding RNA (MDOM_LNC008960)". The record is from RNAcentral. Lineage: Eukaryota; Viridiplantae; Streptophyta; Magnoliopsida; Rosales; Rosaceae.
UCACAAAAAAUUGGAAGGAAAUGCAUUGCAUGAUGGAUUUAAUUGAUUUAAGUUGAUUAUAUAACGAGUUGGCAAACAUUGUGAGUAUAGAAAAUAUGUAGUAAUUAAUGAAAGAAGUUUAAACACACCAUAAUCAUUUAUAUGUAAUGAAUUAGUACAAAAAGAAUUCAAAACAAAACCAUAUAUAUAAAUAUUUUAGCAUAUUUUCACAAAAACAUAAGUGAUAUUUUAGCAUAUUUUAGCAUAUUUUCAUAAUAAAAGAAUGAUAAAAUGCAAAAAAAGUAUCCAACAAACAAGUCCAAAAUUUAAAAACACAUAAUUUUGAGAUAAUUGAUUUUACAUCCUACUUUAAUAAAAACGAACGCCUAAGACAAAGAAACUAAAAGAAAGGAAAAACAUAAAAUAAACAAAUAAAUUAAAAUAAACAAAUAAUAAAACAAAAAGAAAAAAAAAGAAUAAGGAAAGGGCUCACCUGGAUUCGAAAUCA